RNAcentral lists this ribosomal RNA (497 nucleotides) under uncultured bacterium. RNAcentral describes it as "partial 16S ribosomal RNA". It matches the Rfam family "Bacterial small subunit ribosomal RNA", at positions 28 to 507 of the family's 1533-position model. The record is from RNAcentral.
GAUGAACGCUGGCGGCGUGCCUAAUACAUGCAAGUCGAGCGAACGGACGAGAAGCUUGCUUUUCUGAUGUUAGCGGCGGACGGGUGAGUAACACGUGGAUAACCUACCUAUAAGACUGGGAUAACUUCGGGAAACCGGAGCUAAUGCCGGAUAAUAUUUUGAACCGCAUGGUUCAUAAGUGAAAGACGGUCUUGCUGUCACUUAUAGAUGGAUCCGCGCUGCAUUAGCUAGUUGGUAAGGUAACGGCUUACCAAGGCAACGAUGCAUAGCCGACCUGAGAGGGUGAUCGGCCACACUGGAACUGAGACACGGUCCAGACUCCUACGGGAGGCAGCAGUAGGGAAUCUUCCGCAAUGGGCGAAAGCCUGACGGAGCAACGCCGCGUGAGUGAUGAAGGUCUUCGGAUCGUAAAACUCUGUUAUUAGGGAAGAACAUAUGUGUAAGUAACUGUGCACAUCUUGACGGUACCUAAUCAGAAAGCCACGGCUAACUACGUG